AGAUGGCUGCUGCAAGGACCAAGAACAGUCAGUGCUUAGAGGAGCUGCCUGCGAGAAACAUUGAGGAGAGCUGAUCUGGUGUGGGCUGUUUGAGCAGCUCAGUGCUGACAGGGACCAAAUCCAGUGACCAGGACCGACCCUAUGGAGUCACCCUGGUGAAACAGCACAGAAUGCAGACAAUCCCCUGCACACAAGGAAACAGCCCCAGUGAUCACAGACUGAGUUUUCAUGUAGUUGGACUUGGUGGUGUGUGAGCAAAUGAAAGAGCAGCUUCAUGCCUUAUGAAAUAACAAAUAGUAAAUCAGCUACUAAUACAAUUCACAGAGGCUGCUAAAAGGCUGCUGGAGGUCACAAAAACAGCAACCUUUUGAGGUGAUGAGAUGGGAGCUUCUUAAGUCAACACAUGCAGUUGGCUUCUCCCUGGCAGUGCUCCACUGUGGGGCAGGAUCCAGGCUCUGAUGCCUUCCCCCUCUGGCAGAUGCUGUGAGUGUGUGAAUGUCCUCUCUAAUUCCAGAUUAGCCACAAAGAGGAGUCAUCAUCCUUAAGGAGCAGGCAUGCUUGGAAAGGAAAGGCUGUCUGGAGGCUGCAGGGCACAGCACUAUCCUCAGGUGCUUUGAGAUGUCUGAGCAAGGUUCCUAGCACUAAAGGAGGAGAGGGAAAAAAUGUGCUUUUCAUGCUGAGGGCUGCGUGCCACUGGAACUCAGCUUCCCUGCUAGCCCAGGAUUUCUCAAGCUUGGCUUAAUAAAAUCCAGAUCUCAUCUAAUGAGUUCAGAGGAUGCUUCAGAAUGUCUCAACGCGGAAAGUGCUGAUUUUGCACACCAAGCCAAGGAAGGUUUAUGGCACUAAAAGAGUCUCCAAAGUCUUUAUCCUCCCUGACUUGAAGGAGAAAAAGCACCCUGGGCUGUUAGCAGCACCUCUGCUCCUCCUGCAGCACAUUGUGACUUGGCUUUUAUUGCAACUGUGCCUGUCCUCAUGUCACAACCUCUCUGCCAGUGCU
This is a long non-coding RNA of Zonotrichia leucophrys gambelii, 997 nucleotides long. RefSeq lists it as uncharacterized. NCBI's taxonomy places the organism in Eukaryota, Metazoa, Chordata, Aves, Passeriformes, Passerellidae. The record is from RefSeq and is a predicted model, not a curated record. The transcript has 3 exons.